UGAGUCGUGAGGAAUAGCGCCACACGGGGUGGAAACAAGGACACACUCCCGGGAUGCGUUUUUGG
RNAcentral lists this small RNA (65 nucleotides) under Synechococcus sp. KORDI-100. RNAcentral describes it as "Cyano-1 RNA". It matches the Rfam family "Cyano-1 RNA". The record is from Rfam by way of RNAcentral. Lineage: Bacteria; Bacillati; Cyanobacteriota; Cyanophyceae; Synechococcales; Synechococcaceae.